UGGGGAAUAUUGGACAAUGGGCGAAAGCCUGAUCCAGCCAUGCCGCGUGUGUGAAGAAGGUCUUCGGAUUGUAAAGCACUUUAAGUUGGGAGGAAGGGCAGUAAGCGAAUACCUUGCUGUUUUGACGUUACCGACAGAAUAAGCACCGGCUAACUCUGUGCCAGCAGCCGCGGUAAUACAGAGGGUGCGAGCGUUAAUCGGAUUUACUGGGCGUAAAGCGUGCGUAGGCGGCUAAUUGAGUCGGAUGUGAAAUCCCCGAGCUUAACUUGGGAAUUGCAUUCGAUACUGGUUAGCUAGAGUAGGGCAGAGGGUGGUGGAAUUUCCUGUGUAGCGGUGAAAUGCGUAGAUAUAGGAAGGAACACCAGUGGCGAAGGCGACCACCUGGGCUCAUACUGACACUGAGGUGCGAAAGCGUGGGGAGCAAACAGG
Molecule: ribosomal RNA, 429 nt
Filed under: Pseudomonadota bacterium
Lineage: Bacteria; Pseudomonadati; Pseudomonadota
Description: Proteobacteria bacterium partial 16S ribosomal RNA
Rfam family: Bacterial small subunit ribosomal RNA
Source: RNAcentral